GACGAACGCUGGCGGCGUGCCUAACACAUGCAAGUCGAACGGGGCUCUUUGGAUCGAGACUUCGGUCAAGUGAAUCUGAGCUUAGUGGCGGACGGGUGAGUAACGCGUGAGCAACCUGCCUAUCACAGGGGAAUAACGCAUCGAAAGGUGUGCUAAUACCGCAUGAGACCACAGGACCGCAUGGUCAAGGGGUCAAAGAUUUAUCGGUGAUAGAUGGGCUCGCGUCUGAUUAGCUGGUUGGUGAGGUAACGGCCCACCAAGGCGACGAUCAGUAGCCGACCUGAGAGGGUGAUCGGCCACAUUGGAACUGAGAAACGGUCCAA
Molecule: ribosomal RNA, 323 nt
Filed under: uncultured bacterium
Lineage: Bacteria
Description: bacterial SSU rRNA
Rfam family: Bacterial small subunit ribosomal RNA
Source: RNAcentral